RNAcentral lists this ribosomal RNA (440 nucleotides) under uncultured delta proteobacterium. RNAcentral's name for it is "bacterial SSU rRNA". It matches the Rfam family "Bacterial small subunit ribosomal RNA", at positions 104 to 523 of the family's 1533-position model. The record is from RNAcentral. Lineage: Bacteria; Deltaproteobacteria.
GGGUGAGUAACACGUAGGUAAUUUGCCCUUGGGUGGUGAUAACUUUCCGAAAGGAAGGCUAAUACAGCAUGAGACCACGAUUUCGAAAGGGAUUGAGGUCAAAGCCGGCCAAUUCAUGAAAGCUGGCGCCUGAGGAUGAGCCUGCGGCCCAUCAGCUAGUUGGUAGGGUAAUGGCCUACCAAGGCGAAGACGGGUAGCUGGUCUGAGAGGAUGAUCAGCCACACUGGAACUGAGACACGGUCCAGACUCCUACGGGAGGCAGCAGUGGGGAAUCUUGCGCAAUGGGCGAAAGCCUGACGCAGCGACGCCGCGUGAGUGAUGAAGGCCUUCGGGUUGUAAAGCUCUGUGGAGGGGGACGAAUAAGGGCUGGCUAAUAUCCAGCCUGAUGACGGUACCCCUUUAGCAAGCACCGGCUAACUCUGUGCCAGCAGCCGCGGUAA